AUUCAAGUCCUGUUCCGUGAAAACUGAUUCACUCAAUGGCUUCAAAAAGGAGGAGGAAAACGGCUGUUUCGUAAUUUUAGAAGCGAGAGAAGACGUUGUGACGACGCAUUGCGAGCGGAUGGAAAAGUCAGGGUCGCGGAGGCGACGCACGACGUAGGAAAGGAUUCUGGUGAGGAAAGAAGAUAGAGAGUUGGAAUGGAGAACGGCGAGGGUGGAGAGGAGGUGAAGACACUGCUUGCGGACCAGACGCUUGUCGGUGGAGUCGAUGGAAAGUAAACAUGAGAUGAAGGUAGGAAGGCUCGUAUUAUCCAGUGUCCCGGCAAUGGACUCUAGCUCGGUGGCUGCAAGGUUGUAGGUGUCCCGGUCUGAUAGUUUGGUGAUCAACGUUAGCACUUUCAGCUUGAGGUUUUGGGCCAUCUUUCUCCCUUUUGUUUGAGUGGCGCAAUGGAGAUUAACGGUGGUUGGGCGGUGGCGUUCGCGGUGGCGGGAUUAGUGGCGACAUUGCCGGUGAUAAUUUGGUUGGGCGGGGAGUGGUGUCUGUAUGACUGUUAGCUUUUUAAAGUAGAGAGAUGGCCAUGGGGAGUUGAG
RNAcentral lists this unclassified non-coding RNA (588 nucleotides) under Hevea brasiliensis (rubber tree). Lineage: Eukaryota; Viridiplantae; Streptophyta; Magnoliopsida; Malpighiales; Euphorbiaceae. The record is from RNAcentral.